This 125-nucleotide small RNA is filed under the name Marmota monax (woodchuck). Lineage: Eukaryota; Metazoa; Chordata; Mammalia; Rodentia; Sciuridae. The record is from RNAcentral.
GCCGGACGUGGUGGCGCACACCUGUAAUCCCAGUGGCUCAGGAGGCUGAGGCAGGAGGAUCCCAAAUUCAAAGCCAGCCUCAGCAACUGCAAGGUGCUAAGCAACUCAGUGAGACCCUGUCUCUA